CCUACGGGUGGCAGCAGUGAGGAAUAUUGGUCAAUGGUCGGGAGACUGAACCAGCGACGCCGCGUGAGGGAGGAAGGUACUGAGUAUCGUAAACCUCUUUUGUCUGGGAACAAAGACGGGGACGCGUCCCCGGAUGAGUGUACCUGACGAACAAUCAUCGGCUAACCCCGUGCCAGCAGCCGCGGUAAUAGGGGGGGUGCGUGCGUUAUCCGGAUUUAAUGGGUUUAAAGUGCGCGCAGGCGGUCUGGUAAGUACGGGGUCAAAGCCCGGGGCUCAAACCGGGGUCGGCGUAUGAGACUGGCAGUCUAGAGUGAGAGAGAGGUAAGCGGAAUGCGCGGUGUAGCAGUGAAAUGCGUAGAUAUCGCGCAGAACACCGGUGGCGAAGGCGGGUUGCCGGCCACUCACUGACGCUGAGGCACGAAGGCGUGGGUAGCGAACAGGAUUAGAUACCCGUGUAGUC
This 460-nucleotide ribosomal RNA is filed under the name uncultured bacterium. RNAcentral's name for it is "partial 16S ribosomal RNA". It matches the Rfam family "Bacterial small subunit ribosomal RNA", at positions 338 to 795 of the family's 1533-position model. The record is from RNAcentral.